CAAUAGCGUAUAUUAAAGUUGUUGCAGUUAAAAAGCUCGUAGUUGGAUUUGUGGCGUACGGUGUGUUCCGGGCACUUGUUGUCUGAGUAACCUGCUGUUGCCAUCCUUGGGUGGAACCUGUGUGGCAUUAGGUUGUCGUGCAGGGGAUGCCCAUCAUUUACUGUGAAAAAAUUAGAGUGUUCAAAGCAGGCUUAUGCCGUUGAAUAUAUUAGCAUGGAAUAAUGAGAUAGGACUUUUUUGCUAUUUUGUUGGUUUGCGCAAAGAGGUAAUGAUUAAUAGGGACAGUUGGGGGUAUUCGUAUUCCAUUGUCAGAGGUGAAAUUCUUGGAUUUUUGGAAGACGAACUACUGCGAAAGCAUUUACCAAGGAUGUUUUCAUCAA
Molecule: ribosomal RNA, 380 nt
Filed under: uncultured eukaryote
Lineage: Eukaryota
Description: partial 18S ribosomal RNA
Rfam family: Eukaryotic small subunit ribosomal RNA
Source: RNAcentral